GCUGGAACUUUCUCACAAACACAUCCAUGGAGAUCUUCACCAUGUCCUUUCUACAGGAGCACUGUCAGCAGGAACCAGAAGAGCACCAGAAAGAAAUCAAGCAGACUUACCAGCACAGCUUGCUUGCCGUACUCAAUCCACCGACGGGUAGCAAAAUUGGUAGACUCCGCACAGUUAAAACCAUGGUUAAAGCCGGCAUGGUAACCAUAAGGGAAAGUGAUCAUAAACUCUCCAGCCUCUUGAGUCACCUGAACAAGAGCAGACUUGAAGCAGCUGCUUCAAAUGGCAGAAGUCCACAGAACUGGAAUUCUGAGCUCCACCACAACUUAGCUGAGUAACAAAGGAUUAUUCCACAGUAACAACAAAUCCUCCCACUGCAAACAGCUUCAUUAUAAAACAAAACAGAGAAGAAGAGUUGACAAAAAUGUCACCUAAAGGACUCUGGGAUCCAUCAGGCAACCCUAUACAGAAGGCUCUGGAGGUCCCACUUCAGAGGACCUAAGAAUGUAUAUAAUAACUGGAAAACCUUCUUUUAUAAGAGAAUUCAAAAAUCCAGGAGCAGUGAAUUUUGGAGUAAACAAUGGUGAAGACACAAAAGCUACAUUUACACAUCCUACAAGUCUAGCCUUCUGAGGAAGGAAAAACAGGACAGUAGUUAGGAGAUAAUCAUAGGCUCAAAAGGUUCUUUCCCCCAAGAUUAGAAACUGGAGAGCACUUGAAAGAAGAAAGGAAAACCCCUGAGAAAGAACAUGGCUGAAGAUGCUGAAAAAAGACCUGAAAGUGGAUAUGGUUUUCAUGACUCCCCAUAAUGUGCCCCAUGAUGUCCCCUCCGGCCUCAUCACUCACUUCUCAUCGUUUUACACAGCACCCAAACUACAGCAGACUCCCCCUAGCUCCCUAAACACACCACGCCUGGCUAAUUUUGUGUUUUUAGUAGAGACGGGUUUCACCAUGUUGGCCAGGCUGGUCUCCAACUCCUGACUUCAGGUGAUCCACCCACCUCGGCUUCCCAAAGUGCUGGGAUUACAGGUGUGAGCCACCACGCCUGGCCCUCAUGUGCUGUCUUAAUCCAGGAGCUCUGCGUCUGUGGUUCCAACUGCCUGGAUACACUUCCCUCAAUCUCCCAGCUGCUAAGCCCACCACCACUCCACCCGGUUAUGUCCUUCUCAUGUUUUAGGUCUCACUUGUCACCUCUUUGAAAGAAGCCUUCUUUAAUCCCAUCUAUCCUUCUUAUGUGGACCUUAGCACCCACUUCUUCCCCUUCAGAGCUGUCCCCACACCGUAUGAGCAUUCUCUCACACUUUCUACCUCCUGACCAGUCUCCUAUCUGUGUGAGGGUAGGUAUCUCAUCCAUCUUAUUCACUGCUGUUAUCUGCAGCACCUUCACUAAAAUGCUGAGAUGGGCCGGGUACAGUGGCUCAUGCCUGUAAUCCUAGCACUUUGCAAGGCUGAAGUAGGAGGACUGCUUGAGCCCAGGAGUUUGAGACCAGCCUGUGCAACAUAGUGAGACCCCAUCUCUACCCUAAAAAAAAAGAAGGAAAAAAAUUAGCUGGGCAUAGUGGUGCACGCCUGUAAACCCAGCUACCUGGGAGGCUGAAGUAGAAGGAUCACUUGAGCCCAGGAGGUCAAGGCUGCAGUGAGCCAUAAUGGUGCCACUGCACUCCAGCCUGGGUGACAGAGUGAGACCCUGUCUCAAAAUAGAAAAA
Molecule: long non-coding RNA, 1706 nt
Organism: Homo sapiens (human)
Lineage: Eukaryota; Metazoa; Chordata; Mammalia; Primates; Hominidae
Exons: 3
Source: RefSeq, a predicted model, not a curated record